Hyaena hyaena (striped hyena) is the source of this 3265-nucleotide long non-coding RNA. RefSeq lists it as uncharacterized. Lineage: Eukaryota; Metazoa; Chordata; Mammalia; Carnivora; Hyaenidae. The record is from RefSeq and is a predicted model, not a curated record. The transcript is spliced from 2 exons.
UUAUUUUUUUUAUUAAAGGCUAUUUAUAUUAUAGAAACUAUCAUUAAUAUAUAUUCUUUAUUUACAUGAUCUGUCCCAUAGUCAUGCAUUGUUUUGCACCCCAAAUUUUUUAUUGUCCGUAGCAGCAUGGUCAGCUUUUCUCUCGGUCCGUGGGUGAGGCUCAGGCACUAUCCCAUUUAUACCAAUGACUAAUGUAUCACUACAUAAGGAAAACUGAUUGAAGUUCAUCCUCUUUCCUUUUAUUUCUGUUUUCAUAUGAAUCCCCCAUUUUCCACCUUCUUUUGUAGUUGAUAAUGCCUCAAUCAUGAAACUAGUUACCAAAAUUAAAACAGUAUAGCAUAUCUUCCUGAUUGCUCCAGCCCCUCUACCGAGGUAUGCUCAUGAAUAAUACUUUAUAAUAUGGGGGAAUAGAAACCAUGAACUUUUUACCUUUUUAGGCUAUUUAUGCAAUAUCUCAAUAAUAAAAGUAGGACCUUAAACCAUUUUAAGAUCAUGUCCCAUUUCCAAGCGGUUAGGGCUCACUCUCCAACUUUGUUAAAUUGCAUUUGAGUACAUGAUACAUUCUUAAACACUUUGGAAAACAUUAACCCAAGAUGUAGGGGCUAAUGCUAGUCAUCAUUCUAGAAUCUGUUAUUUUACUCAGUAUUUGAAAUGAAUGAUUAAUGCCCUAGGAAAUAGCUUUAGCAAACGUCCAGGUGCCACACCAGAAAAAGUGCAAUAAUUUACUGACAGUUUUCUAGAUUAGGUGUAUUAUUGGAAUACAACUUUAUAAAAAGUGCACAUUAUACACUCUAGUAAAACAGCACCACUUAAACGAUAUUCACUUAUGAAAUCAGUUACCUAUAAUAGAAGUCUUGAAUAGUGAACAAGGGACUCUAAUAGAAAUACUCUUAAUAUUUGGCUGUUUUAGAACCCUUAAAGGGCCUAAUUACUGGAGAUUUAGGUACUCCACUAAAGCAUGUACAUAAUAUUGCCAACAAGAAAAAUAAAUUUGAAGAUUAGGGGAACUUAACUCCUGUAAACUGUCUUGGAAUAGUUAAGAAGAAUUUAAACUCCCAUUUUAAGCAGGAAGCCAAAUAGAUUCUUUUGCAGAUAGAGAUUUCAUAACUUAUUAAAACUUCUUUAACAUUUUGUGCCUUUUACAUAUAUUCAGUUAACACAUGCUAACAUCCCAGUCUCUUCUAUGUCAGGGAUUAACCACAGGAAAAUUCAGUGAAAUAGUACAAAUCUGAAACUCUGAUGAUAGAAACUGGAGAUUUAACAGAGAACCACGUUUUACCCGAGUGCCAAAAAAGCUUUGAGCUUCCUUGCACAAAAUGUAUAUAAUUUGUGCAUUUCUCACAUGAGCCCAGAUAGUCCCCUUCCCCUGGGACCUCUCCACCAUUAAAACACAAGCCACACAGCUUAUUUCAUCAUUACAUUUAUUUUCAAUAGUUAUUACAACCAAGUUAAUUCUGUUUGAAGACGUGUAGACAAAUUUUACUAAGAAUAGAAUUAAGAUUCUAUAGAUUAAGUGAUUUUGCUAAAAGCAAAGUAAACUUUACACAAAUCCAAGUGGAGUUUAAGCAGACAACAUUAAAAAGAAGAAAAAAGGGUCAGGUAGUGCUCAGAAAGCAAAGAACCAAAAACUGAAUUGAAUACUCCAUAGGGUGACUAGGAUGUCAAGUCAGUGGUAAGCCGUUUCCAGGUACUGCAGUGUCUGGUCACCCCCCUCACCCUACCCCGUGGAUUGGUCGGCUCCUGUGGCCGACCAUCCUUGUCACUGAAUGUGGUAUAACUGACUGUUGACUCAACAGUCUCAUUUGGUCACUUGAAAAAUACUUCCUUCAAUGACUUUUGGAGGGAAAAAAAAAAGCAGGUUUAAAGAACCUAAAGAAAAUAAAACUUAAUUUUAAACAAGUUCUAGUAAGAUAUAAUCUGAAAAUCAUGUUUUAACUUUUUAUCAUAUUCUCAGCUAUACAGAAUCAUUUAUUUUGAAGAUUUUUAGACUGCUGUUAAUUUGAAAUCUGUUAAUCAUAUUGUAGAAUUUGGUUUUUAAAAAAGAUGUUUCUAAUUGGAUUUUUUAAAGAAGAAUGGAAUUUGGUCACUAUUUUCUGAUAGAACCUAAGCUUUUUGUGGUUCUUAGUGUCCUCUGUAAAACUCAGUGUCAAAAGUAAUCAACUCUGAGGUUUUCCCUUCUAAUCUGCUUUAUAUUACAAGCCCUUUAGGAAAUGGGAACCUGGUGAAUAUACAAUGAAUUGUAAAAUAUUUUAAUGUGUAAUUUUUUCAACUGUGAAACUAUGACUAUUGGUUUUUUGAUGAAAACAGCUGCUGAUAAAGUAUUUUGUGUAAAGUGUAGUUCUUAUUAAUCAGGAAAAUAAUCAAUGACUUGAUUAGAAUGUAUAUACCCUCUUGGAUUUUAUUUUGAAUGGAUUGGUGAUUUUCACAUAGGUAAAAUACAGUCCAUCCUGUAUUCUUUUUCCAUCAAAAAUUGAGUGAUCUAGCAUCAUAAAAAAUUAUAAACAGCCUAUCUAUUUUAAAAGAAUCGUGGAAAUUUCACAACACAUAAACUUGGAUUUGUUUCUUAAUGAUUUUGUAAAUCCACUUAAUUCAUAUUCUGACCAAUAGCCCAUGCUUGCCAACUCUUUGAAAAAAAAUUGAUUUCCAGCAUUAUUUUAAAGUCAGCAGGUUAACCUUUUCCGAAUGUUUUGACUUCCUUUUGUUUCUAUGUCUACAUAAACUGCAGACCUGGGCUGGACCCACGUACUCAGAAUCCACCUUAGAAAUCGACUUUGAUGUCCAAGACAUCACUAAAAUGUUUCAGGUUAAAGACCCUAUGCGGUGUUAAUGGACUGUGGUGCUUCUACUAUCUAAAAACAACUUUCAUACUUCAGAUGUUUUUGAGAAGAGGAGAAUGUGCAAGGAGGGGGCAGAACAGGGGGAGUCUGAAUGAAUUACAUUCUUCAUGCCCAUCCUGCUCAGAUGGGGCGCCUCUAAGGGAAGCCUUAGAUGGGGCCUUUGAAAGACAAAGCAGAAAGCUGUAAGCAAGGAGGAAGAAAAUUUUCGUUGUUUUAUGUUCUCUCAAAAUAUCUUUAAUAAGACUAAACUCCUUAAGUUGAGUAUGAAUUUCCAAAUGUAGUCCUGAUCUAUCAAUUUCAUAAGUAAAAGCCCUUUAUCACAUUUAUGUUCCAAAGAGUGGUUGGAGAGCUUGGCCUUCAUGUGGUUUCUAGAAAUGCUUUUGGCUCUGGAACCUAAGUUUCAAAUACAACUAAUAGUUUCGAUGUGA